RNAcentral lists this ribosomal RNA (505 nucleotides) under uncultured bacterium. RNAcentral describes it as "partial 16S ribosomal RNA". It matches the Rfam family "Bacterial small subunit ribosomal RNA", at positions 28 to 507 of the family's 1533-position model. The record is from RNAcentral.
GACGAACGCUGGCGGCGUGCCUAAUACAUGCAAGUAGAACGCACAGUUUAUACCGUAGCUUGCUACACCAUAGACUGUGAGUUGCGAACGGGUUAGUAACGCGUAGGUAACCUGCCUGGUAGCGGGGGAUAACUAUUGGAAACGAUAGCUAAUACCGCAUAAUAUUGAUUAUUGCAUGAUAAUUAAUUGAAAGGUGCAAUUUCACCACUACCAGAUGGACCUGCGUUGUAUUAGCUAGUAGGUGAGGUAACGGCUCACCUAGGCGACGAUACAUAGCCGACCUGAAAGGGUGAUCGGCCACACUGGGACUGGGACACGGCCCAGACUCCUACGGGAGGCAGCAGUAGGGGAUCUUCGGCAAUGGACGAAAGUCUGACCGAGCAACGCCGCGUGAGUGAAGAAGGUUUUCGGAUCGUAAAGCUCUGUUGUAAGAGAAGAACGGGUGUGAGAGUGGAAAGUUCACACUGUGACGGUAUCUUACCAGAAAGAGACGGCUAACUCCGUG